RNAcentral lists this ribosomal RNA (377 nucleotides) under uncultured bacterium. Its description in RNAcentral is "bacterial SSU rRNA". It matches the Rfam family "Bacterial small subunit ribosomal RNA", at positions 523 to 898 of the family's 1533-position model. The record is from RNAcentral.
AUACGUAGGGGGCGAGCGUUGUCCGGAAUAACUGGGCGUAAAGGGCGUGUAGGCGGCCUGACAAGUCAGGGGUGAAAGACCAGGGCUCAACCGUGGGGUUGCCUCUGAGACUGUGAGGCUUGAGUGCUCCAGAGGGCAGUGGAAUUCCCGGUGUAGCGGUGAAAUGCGUAGAGAUCGGGAGGAACACCAGUGGCGAAGGCGGCUGCCUGGGGAGUAACUGACGCUGAGGCGCGAAAGCUGGGGGAGCAAACAGGAUUAGAUACCCUGGUAGUCCCAGCCGUAAACGAUGAGUGCUAGGUGUGAGGGGUAUCGACCCCCCUCGUGCCGGAGUUAACGCAAUAAGCACUCCGCCUGGGGAGUACGGCCGCAAGGUUGAA